RNAcentral lists this ribosomal RNA (33 nucleotides) under Fusarium oxysporum. Its description in RNAcentral is "partial 18S ribosomal RNA". RNAcentral also lists the same sequence under 3 other names. The record is from RNAcentral. Lineage: Eukaryota; Fungi; Ascomycota; Sordariomycetes; Hypocreales; Nectriaceae.
UUCGUAACAAGGUUUCCGUAGGUGAACCAGCGG